GUUAAAGAAAGAAGAAAAUGUUGGUUAAGUAAUAAGAAGAAUUAUGUUUAAAGCUCAUUUAAUAGUAAAAUGGAGCCCGUAGACCUUCUCCUGCUCUGCAGGUACAAGUUAUUUCCCUUGGUUUCUCCUGCCUCUAACAUAAGUAGUAGAGAUGGAGAGGAUUUCCAUUUGAAGUUCUGAGCUAUCAAAGAGAGCACUGCUCUGGGCAACCAUGCUGUCCUGGGCCACUCCUGCCACCUUUCCUACUAUGUACCUAGGCUGGCUCAAAAUACCUGUAUGCUCUCCUCCAGGUGCAGGUACCAGACCUUGCAGCCCUUACUGAAACUUGUGGGUUAAUAGGUAGGGAGUUUGUGAUUCUCUUCCUCUCCCUCAAGACUUAUUCCCCUGAGUAGGGCUGUAGAGUGAAACCCCUUUGCUACUCCAGCAUUGCCAAUACCCCGUUUUGUCUAGAAUGCACCCUUCCUGUCUAACCUUGAUGGACUCUUUAGGAAGUAUUAUAAGAUAAAACUCUGGAGCUUUCAGGUUGUGUCCUUGGAUUCCUUCUGAGUAUCCCCUCUCAUGGGUUGAGUUUCCUACUGGGCCAUCCUACCCCCAGCAUAGACCAUUUAACCAAGCAGAGCAGAUUUCUGUCCAGGACUGAGUCUAGGACAGUGGGAGGUUAGCAUGAGAGAACACCAUUUAUUUCAUCAUUCACUCACUUACGUGUUCCUUAAUCAUACAGUCACUCAUUCAAGAAGCAUUUAUUGAAUAUUUACUCUGCACAAGUUAUUUUGCUGCCAUGACCAGUGAGGUACAGUGAUGAACACGACAGCAGAGUCUCUGCCCUGCAUGACAAAGCUGAAGAGAAACAUUAUAUAAGUGAUGAACAAAUUAAGAAGGUCACAAGUUGUGGGAACACACUGAAGAAAUCAGCAAGAUAUUGAAGAAAAGCAACCUGGAAGGGGACACUUCAGACAAGGUGGUCCAGGAAUGCUCUGAAUGAAUUAGUAACGUCUGAGCUGAGACAUAAAGAUGAAGAGGAGGGAGCCGUAUGAAGACCUGAGGAAGAGCAUCUUCUAGAGAGGAAGCUGAUGGAAAUGCUGACAGAUGGCAAAGAACCUGGAACACUCUGUGGGACUGGGCAGGCCAGACCAUCCUCGGCUUUGUGGCAUGUGUAAGUGAAAUUUUAUCCCAAGAACAGUGGGAAGACAUCGAAUGGUUUGGAGCUGCAGGAGAGACAUGAUCAGAUUUAUGUAUUAAAAAGAGAGCUCUGGCUGCUGUAUAGAGAACAAAUUCUAGGUACACCUGGGGGUUCCAGUUAAAAGCUAGAGUCAUCUGGACAGGAGAUAAUGGUGAAGACAAUGACAGUGGAGAGCUAGUGGCAUGCCCAGGAAAGUUUUUGGACCUAGAACGGACAACACUUGCUGAAGGACUGGUAAUUGAAGAGUGAGAAAGGAAGAAUGCCAGAUUGACUCCUGAGACUUGUUCUUGAAAGGCUGGGCAGGCAGCAAUGCCAGUUUCUGGAUGGAGCAAACUGAAGGAGGCUGUCCCUGUGGUCUCUCCCUGGCGCCCUGUGAGCUGAUGGAGGCAGACAGGAAUGUGGGCUGCAAAUGUGCUCCCUUCACUUUGGUGAUAGGAAACACCAGUGGCCAACUUGGCCUUGUCCUUUCCUGCAAUUCUCCUAAUGACUCCAUGAGGGGGUCCUAUAAUACCCUGAGACAGAAAAGAGAUCUGCCCUGGAUUCCACCGUGACACCCCACAUGCCUGCCCUCAGGAUGCGGUGCACCCGAGGACUGCUUCGUCCGGCCUCACACCACACGGGUCUUGUGUUACCCUGCACUGGUUAGUGUCUCUCUGUGACACAGCUUCGUCGUAGAGCAGGCAGAAGCCGGGACUCACAGGUCCGUCGUGCAGGUGAUGUGAAAUUUAGAUUAAUGAGUCAAGUAACAGGAGAUUCUUUUGGAAACUCCCAGGAGGGCCAAAGUGAGACACAAGCAUCAGGUAAGACCUUGCCUACUUGUCAGGUACCCACCUUGCCGCCGACUUUGGAGAACCAGGCUGUCCUUCUUUUCCUUCUUACUCUCGGUUCCACGUUCUUGUCCUACAGGAAGUUCCUCUUUGCAGGAUAUGCACCCGCUAUUUUAGCUCUGUUCCACCAAAAGGAGAUCUAACUCAGAAAAGCUGAGUACUCCUGAGGUUGAAUGAUGAUCGGUGUAAUACUAAGACCUGGAGGCUAGAACACAGGCCUGCAGCAAGAGUCUUGCUUUGAAAGUCCAUGGAAACAGCUUAAUGAGUUCUGUGUGUUUUUGAAGGGGAAGCAGGUGUCCCAGUGAGUUGAACUUGUGUUGAAUAUGAUGUUUCACUAAAUGUCUCUAAACUCUCUAAUGUCUAAAUGUCACUAGACUCUCAGGAUGCCUGGCUGGCUCUG
Molecule: long non-coding RNA, 2407 nt
Organism: Lutra lutra (Eurasian river otter)
Lineage: Eukaryota; Metazoa; Chordata; Mammalia; Carnivora; Mustelidae
Exons: 4
Source: RefSeq, a predicted model, not a curated record